AACGAACGCUGGCGGCAUGCCUAACACAUGCAAGUCGAACGAGACCUUCCGGUCUAUUGGCGCUCGUGUGCGUAACGCGUGGGAACCUGCCCUUAGGUUCGGAAUAACUCCCCGAAAGGGGUGCUCAUACCGGAUAAUGUCUUACGCCCAAAGAUCUAUCGCCUUUGGAUGGGCCCGCGUUGGAUUAGCUAGUUGGUAGGGUAAAAGCCUACCAAGGCGACGAUCCAUAGCUGGUCUGAGAGGAUGAUCAGCCACACUGGGACUGAGACACGGCCCAGACUCCUACGGGAGGCAGCAGUGGGGAAUAUUGGAGAAGGGGCGAAAGCCUGAUCCAGCAAUGCCGCGUGAGUGAUGAAGGCCUUAGGGUUGUAAAGCUCUUUUACCCGGGAUGAUAAUGACAGUACCGGGAGAAUAAGCACCGGCUAACUCCGUG
This 433-nucleotide ribosomal RNA is filed under the name uncultured bacterium. RNAcentral's name for it is "partial 16S ribosomal RNA". It matches the Rfam family "Bacterial small subunit ribosomal RNA", at positions 29 to 507 of the family's 1533-position model. The record is from RNAcentral.